This 65-nucleotide ribosomal RNA is filed under the name Eimeria canadensis. RNAcentral describes it as "partial 18S rRNA". It matches the Rfam family "Eukaryotic small subunit ribosomal RNA", at positions 1764 to 1828 of the family's 1831-position model. Lineage: Eukaryota; Apicomplexa; Conoidasida; Eucoccidiorida; Eimeriidae. The record is from RNAcentral.
UAGAGCCCUCUAAAGGAUGCAAAAGUCGUAACACGGUUUCCGUAGGUGAACCUGCGGAAGGAUCA